Molecule: ribosomal RNA, 445 nt
Filed under: uncultured Anaerolineaceae bacterium
Lineage: Bacteria; Bacillati; Chloroflexota; Anaerolineae; Anaerolineales; Anaerolineaceae
Description: bacterial SSU rRNA
Rfam family: Bacterial small subunit ribosomal RNA
Source: RNAcentral
ACAAGCAGCGGAGCGUGUGGUUUAAUUCGAUGUUACACGAAGAACCUUUACCAGGGUUUGACAUGCAAGUGGUAGGAAGCCGAAAGGUGACCGACCCUUCGGGGAGCUUGCACAGGUGCUGCAUGGCUGUCGUCAGCUCGUGUCGUGAGAUGUUCGGUUAAGUCCGCUAACGAGCGCAACCCUCGCUGUGUGUUAUAUGUGUCACACGGGACUGCCGGUCUUAAGCCGGAGGAAGGUGGGGAUGAUGUCAAGUCAGCAUGGCCUUUAUAUCCUGGGCUACACACACGCUACAAUGGUCUGUACAAUGGGUAGCCAAGCCGCGAGGCGGAGCCAAUCCUGAAAGCAGGCCUCAGUUCAGAUUGCAGUCUGCAACUCGACUGCAUGAAGCCGGAGUUGCUAGUAACCGCAGGUCAGCAAUACUGCGGUGAAUACGUUCCCGGGUCUU